RNAcentral lists this ribosomal RNA (291 nucleotides) under uncultured bacterium. RNAcentral's name for it is "partial 16S ribosomal RNA". It matches the Rfam family "Bacterial small subunit ribosomal RNA", at positions 773 to 1060 of the family's 1533-position model. The record is from RNAcentral.
GUGGAUUAGAUACCCGGGUAGUCCACGCCCUAAACGAUGUCAACUGGUUGUUGGGGGAGUGAAAUCCCUUAGUAACGAAGCUAACGCGUGAAGUUGACCGCCUGGGGAGUACGGUCGCAAGAUUAAAACUCAAAGGAAUUGACGGGGACCCGCACAAGCGGUGGAUGAUGUGGAUUAAUUCGAUGCAACGCGAAAAACCUUACCUACCCUUGACAUGUCCGGAAUCCUGCAGAGAUGCGGGAGUGCCCGAAAGGGAAUCGGAACACAGGUGCUGCACGGCCGUCGCCAACU